RNAcentral lists this transfer RNA (72 nucleotides) under Camelus bactrianus (Bactrian camel). It matches the Rfam family "tRNA". From Rfam's summary of the family: Transfer RNA (tRNA) molecules are approximately 80 nucleotides in length. Their secondary structure includes four short double-helical elements and three loops (D, anti-codon, and T loops). Lineage: Eukaryota; Metazoa; Chordata; Mammalia; Artiodactyla; Camelidae. The record is from Rfam by way of RNAcentral. RNAcentral also lists the same sequence under 2 other names.
GAGGGUGUAGCUCAGUGGUAGAGCACAUGCCUAGCAUGCAUGAGGCCCUGGGUUCAAUCCCCAGCACCUCUU